Pelobates cultripes (western spadefoot toad) is the source of this 5173-nucleotide non-coding RNA. NCBI's taxonomy places the organism in Eukaryota, Metazoa, Chordata, Amphibia, Anura, Pelobatidae. The record is from the annotation of a GenBank genome assembly.
CACACUUUUCCCCCCACCACAACUCUGUUGGUAUGUACCUUCAUAUACAUAUUUAUGCACCAGUUCUGUAUGUACAAGGUUUUUUUUAAUCCUGAUCCACUAGAAGUGAAGUGUUACAUCAGGAUAAGUACUUGUGGAUCAAUGAAAUAAAUCAGACAGGAGACCAAUUAAUUAAUGCUUUAGCAGCCAAACACAUUUUAAUAGACUUUGUAUUCCAAGAACACUCCCCUCCCCUCAAAAAAAAAAUAAAAAAAAAAUCUUGUCGUAGUUAUAAUGUGAAGCAACAGAGUUGCACAUAAUACAAUCAAAUGUUUUCUAAAACAAUGAAAAAAUAAGCCUGUUAAAAGCUCCCACGCUUCAUUCAAAACAAAAGAAUCCCCCCUCCCCAAAAAAACAACUCCUUUUCAGAAGACUCCACGUGUACAUCCCUUUUCCAAUCAAGGAUUUCUGCAACCAAAGGCUCCAUGAGAGAAAGGGGAUCAUAAUUAUCUACACACCUAUAUAUGUAUUUAAAAUAUAUAUUAUAUAAGUGUGCAUAACAGGUAUAUUUGAGAAGUUAGGAGCCUUUUUAAUCAGUGCAUCCAGGUAAUUCCUUGAUGCCCCCAACCAACUUCCUAAUAAAUUGGGUCUUUGCCUCUGAGUCAUAUGUAAGGAUACAGUACCAGCUGCUGCAAAAUAAAAACACAACAAAUUGUAAAACAAAGACUACGGUCUCAGCUUAUAUGUAUCUUAAUAAAAGAACAUUUCAGAUUGCAUCAAUCAGUGAAACAGGAUUCUCCUAAGUACCACAAUACUAUUAAGAUUUCAGACUUAAUGGUGGAAACACAUAAGAAAAGGGGGGUAAAAAUAGUAAUAGCAUUUGAUGGAUGGAUAUGUUGAAAUGUACUUGAGGUUGAGCAGGCCAAAGCAAAGAUCAAGGGUAUGGAUAACCUACACGACAAAGCGUGAGAUAUAUAUAUAUAAAAAAAAAAUAUGGUGGUUGAUUCAUUUUCAGCAAGAAUUUGUCUGGCCACACAAAGCCAUAACCAGCUCAAUAUGGCACUCAGGAAUGUAAUCAUUGCUUGCAAUGGCACCCACUGGGGUUGUGAUUAUGCCUGAUUGGUUAGCAAAACUGUCUGCCAGCUUCAGGUUUGGUCUCAAGCUACGGCUUACAAGUGGUGACUUAGAGACACUUCACAGAUAAACCAAUACAUGGAAAGAGUCAGUUUUUGCCAAAAACAAGUGACAUUCGGCAUAUUGUUUUUAGGCACAUUUUCAAAUUCCAACAUCAUUUACUGGCAUCAAAAUUUUGAUCUUUGAUGAUACAGUUCCUGCCUCUAAUUUUCCAGUCUAGAAGCAAAAUACAGCAAUGGGCCAAGUUCAAUAGAAGGUACACGAUGAGACACCUUCUGUCUUAUUACAUAGUAAUUCUGAUCAAAACUUCUUUGCAAAGCAUUAAGCAAAGAAAUUUCAAGGAACACUUGGAACGUAAAUCUGUAUUGAUAAAAGUUUUAAAGCAUACUAUGUAUUCACAUUAUAAUACAACUGCCAUCUAUGACAAAGAUCAAAUAAUAAAUAACCUAUAACUUUUGUUCUGAUGAUCCUUUUGGACGUGUCUGCAAGCCAUUAAUUUUACUUUAGUGGCUUAGUCAAAAUAAUUUUUGGUUUGUUUUAAGACUAACUUAUUACCUUAAACAACCAAUGAAAGCUUAAAUAAAAAACAAACAAACCAAAUGGCUUAUAUCUAGAAAUGAAAAAAACCAAUGCUGAAUGUUGACAGAUUAGAGAGAAAAGCAACAUUUUAGUGUGUAGAUCAUGACAAACAUUUGACUAGUGAAUGUUCAUGAGACAGUCCAUCUGUUAUGAACCGGAGAAGCCAUUUUUGACUCACUGUAGACUAAAUUGACUCGUAGCUCAUUCACUGAGACAUUCUGCAAGUUGACUUCCAACUUUUUUCAAACCGACGCUUAGAUAGCAGAUAAAUAUGUUUGGAAAGUGCGAUUACUAUCUAUGCAAUACAACUUUAAAACAGAAUUAAAUCCUCUCACCACCCACCCCCCCGAAACAGGUUUCUGCCAACUAUAAGACAUUACACAGACAACUAUGGCAUUGCCUUCGCAAGCAUGCUGUUACAAGAUUUCCUGUUAAAACCCAUCAGGUUUUCAAAAUAUAUUUGGUCAGAGGAGCAUGGACACAAGUUGUAAAAUGCACUUUUGGACACUGUUGAAAAGGGAAUAUUGGCUAUAAGAUGUUUACAAAAUAACGUCGGCAGCAAUGGAAGGGUGUUCAUGUUAAUAUAGACAAUAUUACACAAUGUUUUAGGAAGAAGAUUAGGGUGGGGCCAGUGCUGACCUGAUACACAUCUAAGGUUUGUAAACAAUAGACAGUCUUUUAAAACGCUGCCCCCAAUGCUAUUAAAUGGAGUAUAUAUAUACCUAUCCCCCUUUGUACUGUGUGAACCUUAUGUUGCAAAAUAGUAAAAUUAAGUGACCAUUUAAACUAACAAAAAAAAAAAAACACCAAAAAAAAUAGCAUUAGGACACUGAAAUAUAUUCAGAUUUGAACACGUUUUAAGAUAUUUUCAGAGCUGCAAUUGGACAUUGCCCCAUACAUGUAAGAUUUUCAAAAAAUGCUCUCAAGAACCUCCUGCCUCCCUAAAAACAAAAACAAAUACAAUUGACACAAAUCCAACAUCAGAAUGAAAACUUAAGAGCACAAAGGGGUAGUCUGAACACUUGUAAUUUCAGCGACAUACAGUAAUAAUAGAUUUUUUUUUGCUUAGUUGAGCAAAUUUUAAUUUUGUAACAAAACACUAAAGUUGUUUUUUUUUUUUGUACUUUUUUGUAAUAAAUGCGGAGGGAAUAGAAUGUAUUUCCCUUCCUUGUCAACCUGAAAUUUAGCUCAGUUUUUCCUGUUCCCUCCUAUAGGUGCAGUCUUACAAAAACAGUAUUUGGAGCUUUUUUAUUUUAGAAGCCAAGUCUAAAUAUGUUGCCAAAAUUUACAGUUCUGGAUUAACACACAAGCAGUUUUUGUUAAAAUGUUACCAAACAACUAUUCUUUUGCAGAUAGUGUACUAACCAAUUCAAACUGUAAGCUUCAUAAGAGGCAAAAAAAAUUGCUAUUUGGAAAAUCAGAUUAGAAAUGUUAGUCCAAGAAGUUCAUGAUUAUUAUUAAGUGUUAUUCACAGUAGUCCACAUAUGCCACAAUAACAGCCACAGAAAAAUGCUUAACCCUUUCCAAAUGCAUUUCCAAGAAGUAGCAUUACAAAUUAAACAGGCACAAUGUAAUAAUCUUUAUACAACCUCCAUGACUGGUAACAAUUUUUUGGCCUCUCUGGCAGUCGGUGUAAAUUUGACUUCUAGCUAUUUAAGAAAGGCAUCAAUUUUGAAAAUUAUGGGUUAAAAAAAUUACAACUUUUACUAUGCAAAGCAAAAUAGAUUAAAGCAUCUUUCAGAAUAUAUUUCUUAAUCUGCUGCUAUAUGAAUCACAACAGUCUGUAAAGAUGAAGUAGGGAAUGGAGGAUUAGGAAGGAGACCAGGUUCAUAUUCUGCAGUUUAAAACAAUAAAAAAACCUGCCAAACAAAAAGUGUAUGAAGCACCAAACUACACAAAUAGAAUGCAGUAAAUGUCUUGACUGAAAUGAGAACACAGGUUUUGUUUUGUUUGCAGGGUGCGCAAGGGAAUAGGGCAUAGGUAUGAAAGCAUCAUGUUCCAAUGCACAACUGCAGUGUUUGUUAGUAACAUUACUAGGCACAUCAAUUAAUGCCAUUUCUACUGCAAAAUUCCCAUUUAGCGUAAAAAUGUUGCCCUAUGUUAAUGAUUGAACAUGGGUAACUGAAAUGUAGUAGCCCUUUUAGAACAAUAUUAGUCUUCGCCUCUAAAUGGUUUAGUAACGUCUCAUUGCAUUGAAGUGAAAGGAUUACCAAAUUGCAGAUUUAAAGCCAAAAAUGGCCAUCCUGUAAGUACAGCAGAGUUUGAAUAUUUUGCAAGAGGAUUAUCAGAUCGUUGCAGUCCAGAGGGAGAGGGACUCUUGAACACUUUGCUUUAGAUUUUACACUUGCUGGUAACCUUGAUACAUUCACAUCAGACAGUUGGGUUUUAUACUCUUAAAAACAAAAGCAAGCUAGGUCGCAGUGCACACAACCUUCAAAAGUAGAUAAACCUGAGUGAUAAAUAAUAAGAGCCCAUGGGAUGCAUUUUAUGCAUAGACAAUAAUUAAAAAUAAAGCAAAAAUAGCAAUAGUGUAUAUUUUCCACUUGACACUUCUACAUUUCAGUUGUAAAAAGGCAGUAAAAAUUGGAUUUGAAAAAGGUAUUGCACAUAAAGGAAACUAGAUUUAAUCAGAACCAGAGAAAAAAUGUAAAUGUAAAAUACAUUACUAUAUUCACUAAUUUUUAUUUAAGUAAAUCUGCUUGAUUAAGUAAAAAUUAGUUUUUGAAACAGAAUUUGUUUUCUUACAUUAAAUGCCUAUCAAGCAGACCUCACUCUAUGAUGAGCAAACUAUGCACAAGCAUGCUUAAAGGUUUUAGGACAGUAUUCUCAAUAUUUGUCCCUGCAAUUGUUUGCUACACCUAUACACAAUUCCUUAGCACAGAUGUACACUAGAGGUUUAAUAGGGUCUACAUUGAGCUAUAGAUUCUGCUUUGCGAUUGCAUUUGAUUGCAAAUUAUAAUACUACUCCAUACACACACUGGUGCAAAGCCUAUAGACACACAUCAAUAUCAAAAUAUUAGGUUAGUUGCACAGGGUCCUGUAUGCCUCUAAACUGGUCACAAAGUGAGUUGGGAAGAUGAUCUUUGAUCAGGGAUAAAACCAUAAAAUAACAAAUAAAUGUAAAGUUACAUAACACAUUUUUGCAAUCUCAUUUUAGAUUUACCCUGCGACUAAAAGCAAAGUUUACUGCAGAUGAUACAAUAGGCAAAAUGGGCAGUGUCACCCCUCCAAUCUUUUCUUCAAAAAAAGGGAAUGUGAUCCUUUAAUCAGCUGACUGUCCCCUGACAUGAUACCGAAAGUGUUCAAUUUAAAUGCUCGGUAACUUGAUAGGACAUCAGAACUAGAUAGAACUAAUAGCUCUGCAAUAUAUUAAUUGUGUUUUUCAUUUACCUAUUGGAUAAUUGGGCAUUUAUGGGAAAGUACAAGAUUGUUUAUAGAAUACUUAAUAGGAGACAUAUAUAUAUAUACACACAUAUACAUA